CCGUCAGCUGCACACGACCGUACCGCAAACCGACACUGGUGCGCGAGAUGAGUAUUCUCAGGCGCUUGAGAGAACUCGGGAGAAGGAACUCGCAAAUUGACACCGUAACUUCGGAAGAAGGUGUGCCUUUAGUAGGUGAACCCGUACAGGGGGAGCCCAAUGAGGUUGCAAAGAAUCGGUGGCUGCGACUGUUUAAUAAAAACACAGCACUCUGCAAACACGAAAGUGGACGUAUAGGGUGUGACGCCUGCCCGGUGCUGGAAGAUUAAGUGAUGGGGUGCAAGCUCUUGAUCGAAGUCCCAGUAAACGGCGGCCGUAACGAUAACGGUCCUAAGGUAGCGAAAUUCCUUGUCGGGUAAGUUCCGCCCUGCACGAAUGGCGUAACGAUGCCACACUGUCCCCUCCCGAGACUCAGCGAAGUUGAAAUGUUUGUGAUGAUGCAAUCUCCCCGCGGAAAGACGGAAAGACCCCAUGAACCUUUACUGUAGCUUUGUAUUGGACUUUGAACGGAUCUGUGUAGGAUAGGUGGGAGGCUUUGAAGCAGGGUCGCUAGAUCUUGUGGAGCCAACGUUGAAAUACCACCCUGGUGCGUUUGAGGUUCUAACCUAGGCCCGUUAUCCGGGUCGGGGACAGUGCAUGGUAGGCAGUUUGACUGGGGCGGUCUCCUCCCAAAGCGUAACGGAGGAGUUCGAAGGUACGCUAGUUACGGUCGGACAUCGUGACGAUAGUGCAAUGGCAUAAGCGUGCUUAACUGCGAGACUGACAAGUCGAGCAGAUGCGAAAGCAGGACAUAGUGAUCCGGUGGUUCUGUAUGGAAGGGCCAUCGCUCAACGGAUAAAAGGUACUCUGGGGAUAACAGGCUGAUACCGCCCAAGAGUUCAUAUCGACGGCGGUGUUUGGCACCUCGAUGUCGGCUCAUCUCAUCCUGGGGCUGUAGCCGGUCCCAAGGGUAUGGCUGUUCGCCAUUUAAAGAGGUACGUGAGCUGGGUUUAAAACGUCGUGAGACAGUUUGGUCCCUAUCUUCCGUGGGCGCUGCAGAUUUGAGGAAGCCUGCUCCUAGUACGAGAGGACCGGAGUGGACGCACCUCUGGUGUACCUGUUGUCACGCCAGUGGCAUUGCAGGGUAGCUAAGUGCGGAAGAGAUAACCGCUGAAAGCAUCUAAGCGGGAAACUCGUUUCAAGAUGAGAUCUGCCGGGGCCUUGAGCCCCCUGAAGAGUCGUUCUAGACCAGGACGUUGAUAGGCUGGGUGUGGAAGCGCAGUAAUGCGUUAAGCUAACCAGUACUAAUUGCUCGUGCGGCUUGACCCU
RNAcentral lists this ribosomal RNA (1308 nucleotides) under metagenome. RNAcentral describes it as "bacterial LSU rRNA". It matches the Rfam family "Bacterial large subunit ribosomal RNA", at positions 1625 to 2925 of the family's 2925-position model. The record is from RNAcentral.